GACGAACGCUGGCGGCGCGCUUAACACAUGCAAGUCGAACGGAAAGUCCUGCUUUCCCUUGUGGAUUGCGGGUACUCGAGUGGCGAACGGGUGAGUAACACGUGAGUGAUCUGCCCCCAACUUGGGUAUAAGCCUGGGAAACUGGGUCUAAUUCCCGAUAGGACUGCAGGGUGGUGCCUGUGGUGGAAAACGAUUUUCUAGUGGUUGGGGAUGAGCUCGCGGCCUAUCAGCUUGUUGGUGGGGUAAUGGCCUACCAAGGCGGCGACGGGUAGCCGGCCUGAGAGGGUGGACGGCCACAUUGGGACUGAGAUACGGCCCAGACUCCUACGGGAGGCAGCAGUGGGGAAUAUUGCACAAUGGGCGGAAGCCUGAUGCAGCGACGCCGCGUGGGGGAUGACGGCCUUCGGGUUGUAAACUCCUUUCGACCGCGAGGAAGCCACCUGGUUGGAAGGGUGGUGACGGUAGUGGUAGAAGAAGCACCGGCUAACUACGUG
This 494-nucleotide ribosomal RNA is filed under the name uncultured bacterium. RNAcentral describes it as "partial 16S ribosomal RNA". It matches the Rfam family "Bacterial small subunit ribosomal RNA", at positions 28 to 507 of the family's 1533-position model. The record is from RNAcentral.